GCCGGGGAUAUUGUCCUGUCACAGCAGUACGCCUUUAAAGAGUUACUGGUGUGAUGGGACAUUGUCCUCGUU
Non-coding RNA from Dufourea novaeangliae, 72 nucleotides. NCBI's taxonomy places the organism in Eukaryota, Metazoa, Arthropoda, Insecta, Hymenoptera, Halictidae. The record is from Rfam.